AACCCUCAAUUGCUUCCAUCCAGGCAUUACCAAGCUCUCCCACAACACCAGUCACUGAUUCCACCUGGCUUUCUUCAGUCCCUCAGGCUCACAGGUCUGCUGUGUCCCCACACUCAUCUGUCAUUAUCCCCACAGCACCCACCACACAAAGCACUUUGGUUGGGGUGGUGAGUAGUCCAGUUCUCCAUCUUCCUGCAUCUGUACUUCCUGUGGAGACUUCUGCUCACUCGGCAUUAAGACCGAUAUGGGGGUCUGUGCACAAUACUAAGGUUAGAACUGCCUCAUA
RNAcentral lists this long non-coding RNA (286 nucleotides) under Rattus norvegicus (Norway rat). RNAcentral describes it as "long non-coding RNA NONRATT012545". Lineage: Eukaryota; Metazoa; Chordata; Mammalia; Rodentia; Muridae. The record is from RNAcentral.